Molecule: ribosomal RNA, 1436 nt
Filed under: uncultured organism
Description: 16S ribosomal RNA
Rfam family: Bacterial small subunit ribosomal RNA
Source: RNAcentral
CAGGCUUAACACAUGCAAGUCGAGGGGCAGCAUGGUCUUAGCUUGCUAAGGCCGAUGGCGACCGGCGCACGGGUGAGUAACACGUAUCCAACCUGCCGUCUACUCUUGGACAGCCUUCUGAAAGGAAGAUUAAUACAAGAUGGCAUCAUGAGUCCGCAUGUUCACAUGAUUAAAGGUAUUCCGGUAGACGAUGGGGAUGCGUUCCAUUAGAUAGUAGGCGGGGUAACGGCCCACCUAGUCUUCGAUGGAUAGGGGUUCUGAGAGGAAGGUCCCCCACAUUGGAACUGAGACACGGUCCAAACUCCUACGGGAGGCAGCAGUGAGGAAUAUUGGUCAAUGGGCGAGAGCCUGAACCAGCCAAGUAGCGUGAAGGAUGACUGGCCUAUGGGUUGUAAACUUCUUUUAUAAAGGAAUAAAGUCGGGUAUGGAUACCCGUUUGCAUGUACUUUAUGAAUAAGGAUCGGCUAACUCCGUGCCAGCAGCCGCGGUAAUACGGAGGAUCCGAGCGUUAUCCGGAUUUAUUGGGUUUAAAGGGAGCGUAGAUGGAUGUUUAAGUCAGUUGUGAAAGUUUGCGGCUCAACCGUAAAAUUGCAGUUGAUACUGGAUAUCUUGAGUGCAGUUGAGGCAGGCGGAAUUCGUGGUGUAGCGGUGAAAUGCUUAGAUAUCACGAAGAACUCCGAUUGCGAAGGCAGCCUGCUAAGCUGCAACUGACAUUGAGGCUCGAAAGUGUGGGUAUCAAACAGGAUUAGAUACCCUGGUAGUCCACACGGUAAACGAUGAAUACUCGCUGUUUGCGAUAUACAGCAAGCGGCCAAGCGAAAGCGUUAAGUAUUCCACCUGGGGAGUACGCCGGCAACGGUGAAACUCAAAGGAAUUGACGGGGGCCCGCACAAGCGGAGGAACAUGUGGUUUAAUUCGAUGAUACGCGAGGAACCUUACCCGGGCUUAAAUUGCAGAUGAAUUACGGUGAAAGCCGUAAGCCGCAAGGCAUCUGUGAAGGUGCUGCAUGGUUGUCGUCAGCUCGUGCCGUGAGGUGUCGGCUUAAGUGCCAUAACGAGCGCAACCCUUGUUGUCAGUUACUAACAGGUUCCGCUGAGGACUCUGACAAGACUGCCAUCGUAAGAUGUGAGGAAGGUGGGGAUGACGUCAAAUCAGCACGGCCCUUACGUCCGGGGCUACACACGUGUUACAAUGGGGGGUACAGAGGGCCGCUACCACGCGAGUGGAUGCCAAUCCCCAAAACCUCUCUCAGUUCGGACUGGAGUCUGCAACCCGACUCCACGAAGCUGGAUUCGCUAGUAAUCGCGCAUCAGCCACGGCGCGGUGAAUACGUUCCCGGGCCUUGUACACACCGCCCGUCAAGCCAUGGGAGCCGGGGGUACCUGAAGUGCGUAACCGCGAGGAGCGCCCUAGGGUAAAACUGGUGACUGGGGCUA